CUUCCUGGCUGGCCCUUGAACCUACAGUACAGCCAGCCUUGUAUCCAGCCCUGUUCCCUGGCUGGACCUUGAACUCACAUGGCAGUCAACCUUGACCCUGGUGCUCUCUUGCAGGAAAACCUGGCUGCACCUCCUGGAUGGACCACAGACCUAGUUCAGUAUCCGUGUCUGGGUCUGUUGGUGAACUGGGACCCUACCACCACCCUGGCCCUGCUGGGCUGUGGGACUACCUUCUUGCUGGAGGUUCUACUACACAAAGCAGCAAGCUGCUACAUGUCUCUUGUAACUGUGGGUACAGAGGAAUUUACAAUCUUGGAAGGUGCUGUUGGACUUCAAAUUACCUGUCUCUAGGGAAGAAAGCUGGUUAAAAACCAGUUGCUCUUGAAUUCAUCUUUCACACAAAUAUUAUGAUGUUACUCCAAGGUCCUGGGAUGAAUAAUAUCAAAUAAACCUCCAAGAUUUUAAGAGGCUUUUGUGUGAGGAUAGGUGACUAUGAAAGAGAGGGAAGACAAGUAUAUAUCAUGAAAAACAGAGUGAGAAAAGAAACGGAGAGCUGAUUGUGUGAAAGAGACACCCUGGGAAAGCAUCAGAGAAAAGGGAAAGAAACAGAUCCCAAUUUUUGUAAGUAUGUCUCUUCAGGACUGAGACUGUGCCAAACCUUGGACUUGGAGGCUGUUCUGUCCUUAAUACAUUGCACAUGAU
Myiozetetes cayanensis is the source of this 702-nucleotide long non-coding RNA. RefSeq lists it as uncharacterized. Lineage: Eukaryota; Metazoa; Chordata; Aves; Passeriformes; Tyrannidae. The record is from RefSeq and is a predicted model, not a curated record. The transcript has 4 exons.